CGUGUAGGCGGUAGUAGAAGUCUGGUGAGAAAUACCCCGGCUCAACCGGGGAACCGCGCUGGAAACUGUGCUACUAGAGUUUAGGAGGGGGAGCUGGAAUUCCUGGUGUAGGGGUGAAAUCUGUAGAGAUCAGGAAGAACACCGGAGGCGAAGGCGAGCUCCUGGCCAUAGACUGACGCUGAAGCGCGAAAGCGUGGGGAGCGAACAGGAUUAGAUACCCUGGUAGUCC
RNAcentral lists this ribosomal RNA (229 nucleotides) under uncultured bacterium. Its description in RNAcentral is "partial 16S ribosomal RNA". It matches the Rfam family "Bacterial small subunit ribosomal RNA", at positions 568 to 796 of the family's 1533-position model. The record is from RNAcentral.